UGGGGAAUAUUGCACAAUGGGCGCAAGCCUGAUGCAGCCAUGCCGCGUGUAUGAAGAAGGCCUUCGGGUUGUAAAGUACUUUCAGCGGGGAGGAAGGGAGUAAAGUUAAUACCUUUGCUCAUUGACGUUACCCGCAGAAGAAGCACCGGCUAACUCCGUGCCAGCAGCCGCGGUAAUACGGAGGGUGCAAGCGUUAAUCGGAAUUACUGGGCGUAAAGCGCACGCAGGCGGUUUGUUAAGUCAGAUGUGAAAUCCCCGGGCUCAACCUUGGAACUGCAUCUGAUACUGGCAAGCUUGAUUCUCGUAGAGGGGGGUAGAAUUCCAGGUGUAGCGGUGAAAUGCGUAGAGAUCUGGAGGAAUACCGGUGGCGAAGGCGGCCCCCUGGACGAAGACUGACGCUCAGGUGCGAAAGCGUGGGGAGCAAACA
This 427-nucleotide ribosomal RNA is filed under the name uncultured bacterium. RNAcentral's name for it is "partial 16S ribosomal RNA". It matches the Rfam family "Bacterial small subunit ribosomal RNA", at positions 355 to 774 of the family's 1533-position model. The record is from RNAcentral.